CUAGGGGCAAUGAGGAAGAGACCGGGAAGACUGUCUUUGUACUUUGGGAGAGAAUAGCUUUGCUCCUGAUUGGGUAGCUGUGAAUGCCAGUGCUUGCACUGACACUGUACAAAGCCUCAUGACCUUCAUUUUACUCAAUCAAAGAAUGCAAGAAAAAAAAUCUGCCUAUUUUUUUUUCUAGAGGGAUUACAAUGUACCCCGUCUCUUUCCUCUGUUUCUUUCUCCAGAAGUCUUUCAGCAAUCAGGAGUCACAAUCCCAUGGGACUGUCCAUUAGUAGGGUGUCCAGUCCACUGCAGGAUGGGGCUACAUCCAUAAAUACAACAUUGAGAAGUCCAAGGGAUUCCUCUGCCACUCUACCACAUGGAAUCUCAAAAGGCUUGUCCACCAUUUCCUCCUCUCCUUUCCGCUCAGUCCUCUAGCACAGAUUCUUGCUUGCAUCCCUAUUCUGUCUACUCCACCAUAAUGCUCCUUUCUUUUCACUCCUCUCAUGCUGGAAAUACCAACACCUUGCACAAAUGGGUGAUUUAACAGGGAUUGUAGUACAAGAGGGAGUACAUGUUUCUAACUCCUCAGACCUCUGUAUCCAUAAGGAGGAAUUCUAUUUUCCCUUGGACCACAGUCAGAGAUUAGCAGCUGGAAAUCACUUUGACAGUGCCCGUUGCUUGGAUGCAUACCACAGGGAAUUUUAAUUCCAGCCUGUGAAAUUGUAAUUGCUUCUCAAGAUGAAGAGAGGCAUCCUGGGAAAUGGCCACAGCCAGGCUCAAUGUCAGAGUUGCCAGUUGCUGCCACAUCAGAUGUUACUUGCUGUUUUUCAAAAAUCAUUCCAGCUUUCCAUAUGGGAGACUGAACUGGGGAGUGAAACUAAAUUAAUAGAAGCUGUCAGCUGUUCAGAACUGUGCAGACAGCAGUGUGCCAGGUUGUACUUUUAAGUGUAACUGGCCAAUGAAGGCCUAUUCCCAAGAGAAUGUUUUAUUUAAAAAAAAAAAGACUUUGCCUGAAGAUAACUGACAUGGGAAUUAACCUACCAGCUGGAAAUGAAAGAUGGCAGUGAAUGGACUUCUGAGCAUAAGCAGGUAUUUUGUGACUAUUUUAUAAUUGUUGUUGAAUAUUUUAGUUGUAUUGGACUCAUCAUGGCCCUAUUUGGGGUUUUCUUGGCAAAGAUACUGGAGUAGUGUACCAUUUCCUUCUCUAUCCCAUUUUAUAGAUGAGCAAACUGAGGCAGACAGGGUUAAGUGACUUGCCUUGUGUCUGAGGCCAGAUUUAUAUUCAGGAAGAGGAGUCUUCCUGAGACCCUGUACUCUAUCCACCGGGCACCUAGCUGCCCCAAUCAUGUGAGUCUUUCUGUUUACUGAAUGAUGAAAAUUGCCUUAUGAUUAACUUAUCAGUCGUAGAAAGACACUAGCCUGCUAAUUCAACUUUUGUUUUUGCUGGCCAAAAGACUUAAGGAUGACUUUGUGAGCUCUUGGGAUGGUGAUAAGGAAGAGGAGAAAAGAAAAGAGGGCGUCUUUCCCUCUCAUGGGCUGGUUCUAUGGUCUUCAAUCCAAUAAACAUUUUUAAGCACCUUAUAUGUGCCA
This 1575-nucleotide long non-coding RNA is filed under the name Monodelphis domestica (gray short-tailed opossum). Its description in RNAcentral is "lncRNA (ENSMODG00000049443.1)". The record is from RNAcentral. Lineage: Eukaryota; Metazoa; Chordata; Mammalia; Didelphimorphia; Didelphidae.